AGAGAUGGAGACUAACGUCUUCCAAGGGAGAUUGCGUCUCCACUUUCACCCUGGUACUGAGAGGUUGAGCACAAAAUUGGUAACCAAUGCUGCGCUUCCAGCAAAUUUUCCCACCAGCACCCAAUCCUGGGAUAUUUAUUCUCUUUGUCUCACAUCCUACAGGAACGCAGUCGCGGGGUAUAUCCCCCUGAAAACCGUACGUUGCCAAAUAAUGAUUUCUUUGGAUUAGAGAACUACAACUCCCCUGGGUCCUGAGCCGGUAUUUCCCUUUUGCGGCUGCACCGUAGUUAAAAACAAAGCUAAGUGUUCUGGGACGUAUAGUUCUAGCGUUCCUUGGGUCCCGCUGGCGAGCGUGGGCUUUCUGCAGCUCGCAACCGGCCUCGUGCUUUGCGGACGGUUCACUGCGCUUGGAAAGGGGUGAGUCGGCUUUUUGAGGGACAGCAAGUGGUGAGAGUGAAGGCCCGAGGAAUGCUUAGUCCCACGGGACGAAAGGAAGCAGGGAUGAAGUGGUACACUUGAGAAGGGGUUCAGGACUUUGGAGGUGGUGGAACAGAGGAGCUUGGGGCUUCCUCUCCUUCGACUCCUGCCAGAUAAGUGAGGCUAGCAGUAGUCAAGAAAGCUCAUUAAGUAGGAUUUCAUAAGACUUAGGUCGAGUUUGGCUUUUAGUUGUGCCUGCCGCCUAUCGAACUCUUAAUUCAUUAUGUCAUCCGUUAAGUGGACAGCUGACAUUUCCCUGAUCUUUUAUAAAACAUGAGAAUAAGUAUCUUUGGGAAAUCUUUCUAUUUUCAUUAAUCUGUAACUUAUAUUCCAAGUAGAAACUUUCCCUGAAGGGGCAGCUUGUAGUUGUUUACUAGUUUCCUGCUAGCCCUCCCACCACCAUCCACUCUGAUAGCUGUGCUAAGUUCAUUCAUAUAAAAGUUCUGGAGCCAUCACUGUUUUCUCCUAUGAAGGACACAAGCUGUAGUCUUUUCGCUGGGAGAGGCUCCCAUCUGCCUUUCUCUGUAAUAAUGGAGAGAACGCCAUAGUGAAAGGGUUAAAACUCAGCAAACUGCUGAAGAGUGACAAGCCCUAUCAUUUAACUGUGAAAUUGCUUGUUAUUCUGUCUUACAAAGGGAGACGUGUUGUUGAGCUGAUUGUCGUAGACAGUUUUUAUUCUCACUUAUCUGUGUGUCUCCUUUGAAAAUGGAACUUGAAAUUCUACCCUCCUCAGUUUUCUGUUUUUAAUUUGAAAAACAGCCAACAUCCCCUGUGAAUUGCAGUAAAGGAACAAAGCAUUAAAAGGCAUAUCCUUUUCCCAACAAAAGCUCACAGUCUAAUCAGUAAAGAUUUAUUGAGCAACUAUGCCAGGUUUUGAGCUGAGGCUGAGCCUGCAAAGUUGAAAUCUGUGUUCUCUGACCUCAAGGAACAUGAAUGAAUAAUUAGAAUAUAAUAAAACUGUGCUAGUAGGUACAAAAUGUGAGAGCCCAGAACAUGCAUAUAAAGGAAACAUAUCUGUAAACUUCAAGGAAGACUGGGAAAUGGCUUAAUAAAAAUAGAUACAAUGUUAUGGCAGAUAUUUAAAAAAGAUGCUCAGAUAUUAUGUGUCAAGGAUCAUCAGCAAUCAGCAAAUCAUUAAUUUUGAGAACUUGGGAUCACAGACUCUAAUGUUAAGUAUUGUGCUAGAAGCCAUGUACAGAGAAGUAAAAGUAAGAUGAUCAUACGUUUACAAUCUCAAAAUAAGCUUACGUAGACAAAUAAGAAUGUUCCUAAGAGGUCAGUGAGACCAAAUAUUUGAUAUCAGAUCCUUUCCAACAAUAUAGAGGCAUCAUAUUUGUAGAUAUAAAUUACAGUUUUCAUUCCUUAUGAGCCUAAAUUUCAGCAUCAAAAUGUUAAAAGUGAUAUGUGAAUACAGAUAUCACAGUGUAAACCACGAUUAAUUUUCAAAUGAGUUGUAGAAUUAAAAUAUGUCAAGUAUUUAGAGGAAGGGAAGAUCACUGACAGAGUAGACUGGAAAGACUUUAUAAUCAGGAGCUUGACCUGUGAAGGACAGAUAGAUAGAAUUUAUUGAGAACUUACCAAGCUCUUUACAUCUAAUUCAUAUUUGUUCUUUAUAACCCUGAGAGGCAGAUUUUUGUCUUACAUCUCCAUUUUAUAGAUGAGAAAGCUGACAGAAGUUACUUGCCCUGAGUCACACACCUAGGAAGUGGUAGAAUUAGAUUUCAGAUCUAGCUCUGUCAGACUGUAAAGACCAUCCUUUGAACUCUAAAUGGUAUAAAAGACAUACAGAGGAAAUGCCAGGCAUCCUCAGUGGCUUAAAUACGACAUCACAGUAAACUCAGGCUAGACCAGGGAUGACACAUAAAAGAUGAUAGUUUUCAUUUGUGUUGCCAUCAGCCUCCUCUAUAAAUAAACCCAGAGUAACCACAAAUUGCCAUCCUGAGGGGUUCAACAGGGAAUAGUCUCAUAAUGGAUUUAGAGUGAAGGAUGAUUGGCAUUGUUAGUCAGGCAAGCAGAGGGCUGAGCAGUCAAAUAACAGAAUUUCAGAACAAAAGAUUAGAGGGCAGAAAUGCUGUAUGUGCUGAUAGAGUCAGAGAGGGCCCGGAUCAAGAAACUGCAGGAAGAGAAAACUAGAAACCUAGAAUCGUCUAGAAAACUAGAACCUACAAUCGUCUCAGAACACAAAGGAGGCUUGAGGACUGAGCAGACUGACAUAGAUGUACUUGGACAACACCUCACCAAGGAGCAUGUCUCUUCCCACUCACAAUCCCCAAUACGAGAUUCACAGUGGUUCACGCUGAGUCCACAGGAAAAAUUGGCCUGGGGUACAUCAUCUAAAGAUCCUAGGAUUGCUGCAGGUCAGCAGUCUCCACUGGAAAAAAAGAUCUUGAAUCUAGGUGGUGUGCAUACAACAGCAGCAAGACAGUUGAUAAUGCAGAAAUAUCAGGAGGAGUGUGAAAUACUCUGUAGGGAGCAAGCUGUUUCUCUUGACUACUGGCUUGCCAAAGCAGAGUCUUAUUAUAAUAAAAUAAUAGUGGAAAUGAUGAAAGAAGAGACAGGCAAUGAAAUCUAGAAAAAAAUGGAGGAGAAAACAACCCAGAGCGUAGAAGGACUAAAACAGUACUGUUUGGUACCUGAGAGAGAGAUGAAACACAUAGAAAGGCACAUACAUCAAACAGGAAAGGCUGGAGAAUUUAAGAACAAACCAUUUAGACAAGUACUACAACCCCCCAAUGAAACAAAAUUACCAAAAAUUAUGCCAGAAGGGCAUGGCAUCCAGAACGCACAGAGAAGAAAGCAGGUAAAUGAGAGGGAACAGAUGCAGACUAAGGAUCACCAGGAACGCAUGAUUCGAGGGAGAGAACUUGCAGAACAAAGACUCAAGGAGAGAAUCUUGAGAAGAAGCCAGAGCCAGCUACUUACAUAUGAGAAGCAUGAGAGAGUAAAAGAGAUAAAGGAGUUUGAAAGAGUUAUUGCGUAUCUUCUUUUCCAACCAUGCAGUAGAAGUCGGAUUAAAGUGAGUAUUCUUAUGGAUAAGUCUCAGAAUGGAGAGAAGGUGAAUACAAUUGUGAAACCAUAUCAAAGAAAAUUCUUGGCAAUGCCACCCUUUUUAAGAAGUCAAAUAGGAAAAAUAAGAGAUUAAAGUUUCAAUGCUGUUAUGAUAAAAUCAUAUCUCUUAAGUGAACCCUUUUUUUUUUCAAAUGCUCGUUCUCUCCAGGGUUCAGUGAAUAUUCCCAUUUGUAUCAGAUACAGAUAGAUAGUUCUGCACUUGAAAAUUAGCUUAACUUUUUUAGUUGACUUGCAUUUGUUCAAGUUGCAUAUCCUUUCUAGUGUUCAGUGUCCUCAUCUUUAAAA
This 3831-nucleotide long non-coding RNA is filed under the name Homo sapiens (human). Its description in RNAcentral is "non-protein coding lnc-RNF39-4:37". Lineage: Eukaryota; Metazoa; Chordata; Mammalia; Primates; Hominidae. The record is from RNAcentral.